CAGUCGCCGCGGUAAAACGGAGGAUCCAAGCGUUAUCCGGAAUAAUUGGGUUUAAAGGGUCCGUAGGCGGUCUUGUAAGUCAGUGGUGAAAGCCCAUCGCUCAACGGUGGAACGGCCAUUGAUACUGCAGGACUUGAAUUAUUGGGAAGUAACUAGAAUAUGUAGUGUAGCGGUGAAAUGCUUAGAGAUUACAUGGAAUACCAAUUGCGAAGGCAGGUUACUACCAAUUGAUUGACGCUGAUGGACGAAAGCGUGGGUAGCGAACAGGAUUAGAUACCCCCGUAGUCCCUGUCUCUUAUAC
This 301-nucleotide ribosomal RNA is filed under the name uncultured bacterium. Its description in RNAcentral is "partial 16S ribosomal RNA". It matches the Rfam family "Bacterial small subunit ribosomal RNA", at positions 509 to 807 of the family's 1533-position model. The record is from RNAcentral.